UACGUAGGGGGCAAGCGUUGUUCGGAAUUACUGGGCGUAAAGGGCGCGUAGGCGGCACGGCAAGUCAGGAGUGAAAGCCCUGGGCUCAACCCGGGAACUGCUUUUGAAACUGCCGAGCUAGAGUGCGGAAGGGGCAACUGGAAUUCCCAGUGUAGCGGUGAAAUGCGUAGAUAUUAGGAAGAACACCUGAGGCGAAGGCAGGUUGCUGGGACGACACUGACGCUGAUGCGCGAAAGCCAGGGGAGCGAACGGG
RNAcentral lists this ribosomal RNA (253 nucleotides) under uncultured bacterium. RNAcentral's name for it is "partial 16S ribosomal RNA". It matches the Rfam family "Bacterial small subunit ribosomal RNA", at positions 524 to 776 of the family's 1533-position model. The record is from RNAcentral.